This 468-nucleotide ribosomal RNA is filed under the name uncultured bacterium. Its description in RNAcentral is "partial 16S ribosomal RNA". It matches the Rfam family "Bacterial small subunit ribosomal RNA", at positions 28 to 507 of the family's 1533-position model. The record is from RNAcentral.
GACGAACGCUGGCGGCGUGCUUAACACAUGCAAGUCGAACGGAAAGGCCCUGCUUUUGUGGGGUGCUCGAGUGGCGAACGGGUGAGUAACACGUGAGUAACCUGCCCUUGACUUUGGGAUAACUUCAGGAAACUGGGGCUAAUACCGGAUAGGAGCUCCUGCUGCAUGGUGGGGGUUGGAAAGUUUCGGCGGUUGGGGAUGGACUCGCGGCUUAUCAGCUUGUUGGUGGGGUAGUGGUUUACCAAGGCUUGGCCGGGUAGCCGGCCUGAGAGGGUGACCGGCCACAUUGGGACUGAGAUACGGCCCAGACUCCUACGGGAGGCAGCAGUGGGGAAUAUUGCACAAUGGGCGGAAGCCUGAUGCAGCAACGCCGCGUGCGGGAUGACGGCCUUCGGGUUGUAAACCGCUUUCGCCUGUGACGAAGCGUGAGUGACGGUAAUGGGUAAAGAAGCACCGGCUAACUACGUG